RNAcentral lists this ribosomal RNA (515 nucleotides) under uncultured bacterium. RNAcentral's name for it is "partial 16S ribosomal RNA". It matches the Rfam family "Bacterial small subunit ribosomal RNA", at positions 28 to 523 of the family's 1533-position model. The record is from RNAcentral.
GAUGAACGCUGGCGGCGUGCCUAAUACAUGCAAGUCGAGCGAAUGGAUUAAGAGCUUGCUCUUAUGAAGUUAGCGGCGGACGGGUGAGUAACACGUGGGUAACCUGCCCAUAAGACUGGGAUAACUCCGGGAAACCGGGGCUAAUACCGGAUAACAUUUUGAACCGCAUGGUUCGAAAUUGAAAGGCGGCUACGGCUGUCACUUAUGGAUGGACCCGCGUCGCAUUAGCUAGUUGGUGAGGUAACGGCUCACCAAGGCAACGAUGCGUAGCCGACCUGAGAGGGUGAUCGGCCACACUGGGACUGAGACACGGCCCAGACUCCUACGGGGGGAAGCAGUAGGGAAUCUUCCGCAAUGGACGAAAGUCUGACGGAGCAACGCCGCGUGAGUGAUGAAGGCUUUCGGGUCGUAAAACUCUGUUGUUAGGGAAGAACAAGUGCUAGUUGAAUAAGCUGGCACCUUGACGGUACCUAACCAGAAAGCCACGGCUAACUACGUGCCAGCCGCCGCGGUAA